GACGAACGCUGGCGGCGUGCUUAACACAUGCAAGUCGAGCGGAGCGGCGAACGGGUGAGUAACGCGUGAGUAACUGCCCCCCUCUCUGGGAUCACAGUUGGAAACGGCUGCUAAUACCGGAUAGUGGGGGAUGACUCGCGUCCUAUCAGCUUGUUGGUGGGGUAGUGGCCUACCAAGGCGACGACGGGUAGCCGGCCUGAGAGGGCGACCGGCCACAUUGGGCUGAGAUACGGCCCAAACUCGUACGGGAGGCAGCAGUGGGGAAUAUUGCACAAUGGGGGAAACCCUGAUGCAGCAACGCGCGUGCGGGAUGACGGGCUGCGGGUUGUAAACCACAUGCAGCCAUUCGGCGGUAGUUGAAGAAGAAGCACCGGCUAACUACGUGCCAGCAGCCGCGGUAAUUC
Molecule: ribosomal RNA, 404 nt
Filed under: uncultured bacterium
Lineage: Bacteria
Description: partial 16S ribosomal RNA
Rfam family: Bacterial small subunit ribosomal RNA
Source: RNAcentral